This 73-nucleotide transfer RNA is filed under the name Octopus vulgaris (common octopus). It matches the Rfam family "tRNA". Rfam says of the family: Transfer RNA (tRNA) molecules are approximately 80 nucleotides in length. Their secondary structure includes four short double-helical elements and three loops (D, anti-codon, and T loops). The record is from Rfam by way of RNAcentral. Lineage: Eukaryota; Metazoa; Mollusca; Cephalopoda; Octopoda; Octopodidae. RNAcentral also lists the same sequence under 1 other name.
GGUUCCAUGGUGUAGUGGUUAUCACAUCUGCUUCACACGCAGAAGGUCGCGAGUUCGAAACUCGCUGGAGCCU